Halorientalis sp. IM1011 is the source of this 71-nucleotide transfer RNA. It matches the Rfam family "tRNA". Rfam says of the family: Transfer RNA (tRNA) molecules are approximately 80 nucleotides in length. Their secondary structure includes four short double-helical elements and three loops (D, anti-codon, and T loops). Further hydrogen bonds mediate the characteristic L-shaped molecular structure. tRNAs have two regions of fundamental functional importance: the anti-codon, which is responsible for specific mRNA codon recognition, and the 3' end, to which the tRNAs corresponding amino acid is attached (by aminoacyl-tRNA synthetases). tRNAs cope with the degeneracy of the genetic code in two manners: having more than one tRNA (with a specific anti-codon) for a particular amino acid; and 'wobble' base-pairing, i.e. permitting non-standard base-pairing at the 3rd anti-codon position. The record is from Rfam. Lineage: Archaea; Methanobacteriati; Methanobacteriota; Halobacteria; Halobacteriales; Haloarculaceae.
GGACGCAUGGUCCAACGGCAAGAUAUGGCCCUCACGAGGCUGUGAUCGAGGUUCGAUUCCUCGUGCGUCCA